GAAAGAUCUCCCAUGCUCAUGGAUUGGCAGGAUUAAUUUAGUAAAAAUGGCCAUUUUACCAAAAGCAAUCUACAGAUUCAAUGCAAUCCCCAUCAAAAUACCAAUCCAAUUCUUCAAAGAGUUAGAUAGAACAAUUUGCAAAUUCAUCUGGAAUAACAAAAAACCCAGGAUAGCUAAAGCUAUCCUCAACAAUAAAAGGACUUCAGGGGGAAUCACUAUCCCUGAACUCAAGCAGUAUUACAGAGCAAUAGUGAUAAAAACUGCAUGGUAUUGGUACAGAGACAGACAGAUAGACCAAUGGAAUAGCAUUGAAGACCCAGAAAUG
This 325-nucleotide long non-coding RNA is filed under the name Rattus norvegicus (Norway rat). RNAcentral describes it as "long non-coding RNA NONRATT013710". Lineage: Eukaryota; Metazoa; Chordata; Mammalia; Rodentia; Muridae. The record is from RNAcentral.